UGCUUGAUAGGAGAUACCUUAGUACGAG
This 28-nucleotide small RNA is filed under the name Bombyx mori (domestic silkworm). Its description in RNAcentral is "ovarian small RNA-34305". Lineage: Eukaryota; Metazoa; Arthropoda; Insecta; Lepidoptera; Bombycidae. The record is from RNAcentral.